GAUGAACGCUGGCGGCGUGCCUAAUACAUGCAAGUCGAGCGAACAGACGAGGAGCUUGCUCCUCUGACGUUAGCGGCGGACGGGUGAGUAACACGUGGAUAACCUACCUAUAAGACUGGGAUAACUUCGGGAAACCGGAGCUAAUACCGGAUAAUAUAUUGAACCGCAUGGUUCAAUAGUGAAAGACGGUUUUGCUUUCACUUAUAGAUGGAUCCGCGCCGCAUUAGCUAGUUGGUAAGGUAACGGCUUACCAAGGCAACGAUGCGUAGCCGACCUGAGAGGGUGAUCGGCCACACUGGAACUGAGACACGGUCCAGACUCCUACGGGAGGCAGCAGUAGGGAAUCUUCCGCAAUGGGCGAAAGCCUGACGGAGCAACGCCGCGUGAGUGAUGAAGGUCUUCGGAUCGUAAAACUCUGUUAUUAGGGAAGAACAAAUGUCUAAGUAACUAGGCACGUCGUGACGGUACCUAAUCAGAAAGCCACGGCUAACUACGUG
Molecule: ribosomal RNA, 497 nt
Filed under: uncultured bacterium
Lineage: Bacteria
Description: partial 16S ribosomal RNA
Rfam family: Bacterial small subunit ribosomal RNA
Source: RNAcentral